GUGACUUGUGACUUGGGACUGUGUGGCUGUCCGGCGGGGCCUCUUCCGGUAUUAAUUUUUUCCUAUUCUUUCAUUGUACUUAUUUUUCUAGAAAUCACAUCAUUAUCGUUUUAAUAUUAGUGUCGGCUUAUAAAAACCAACCUUGAUGUCAAUUCUCCACCACUGCGGGUUUGCCACUAUCGAUUAAAUCCGGUAGUGAUGAGGGUUUUUGAACCAACAAUGAUCUCAAGAUCUAGGAUAGUGAAUAGCACAUAGGACUUAAAAAAGUAGGGAAAAAGAGAAGACAUAAUGCCCCUACUUUCUUAGUAUAGUUGGCCU
RNAcentral lists this long non-coding RNA (318 nucleotides) under Sorghum bicolor (sorghum). Its description in RNAcentral is "long non-coding RNA (SBIC_LNC018852)". Lineage: Eukaryota; Viridiplantae; Streptophyta; Magnoliopsida; Poales; Poaceae. The record is from RNAcentral.